This is a long non-coding RNA of Felis catus (domestic cat), 750 nucleotides long. RefSeq lists it as uncharacterized. NCBI's taxonomy places the organism in Eukaryota, Metazoa, Chordata, Mammalia, Carnivora, Felidae. The transcript has 3 exons. The record is from RefSeq and is a predicted model, not a curated record.
AAUCCCACUUGAUCAUGGUGAAUAAUUCUUUUUAUAUGCAGAAAACUAGAAAUAGAAGAACAAAGGAAAUUUAAAAGAUCAGCAUGGAGGAGUGCCUGGCUGGCUCAGUUGGGAGGAGUAUGCAACUCAAUCUCAGGAUCAAGUUUGAGCUCCAUGUUGGGUGUAGAGUUCCCUCCAAUCUUCCAUCCUUGUCUAACCAAAUGUGAUUGUUGUGGGGUCAUGAAGUACGACGGCCAAGAAAGAAUUCUUGAGACUUCAGAGGGUGCAACUUAAACUGUUCGUCUAGAGAUGAGGCCUGAAUCCAAAGGAAAAAACACCAAAGCUCAAAACUGAUCAUGAAGAGACAUCUCAUGGUAUGAUAAUGUAAAGACUCACCAGGGAUAAUCCAUACCUGGAGAAUUCUAGAAUGUGAUGAUUCAUCCAGAGUCCCAAGAAAACCAUGACAGAUUCUGGAAUCAAGUUGCCUGGAUCCACAGGAAAACUCUCAUGCAUGACAUGGAGCAUAAUUAGAAUGAACUUAAAUGACAGUGUAGUCUAGACACAAACCUUGUGGGGGUCUUUUGUUUUGUUGUUGCUGUUUUGUUUGGCUUUGUUUUGUUUUUUUUUUACAAACCUUGUUAUAUAAAAGAGUAUGACAUGAAGGAAAAGACUACAAACAAAACUCACACUUAACCCACCAUAAGAAAUGCUUUAAUGUUAACUAUACUGGAAUUAAAUUAAAAAAAAAAAAAGGAUCAUGGUAAGCAGUCU